AGAGUUUGAUCAUGGCUCAGGAUGAACGCUAGCGGGAGGCCUAACACAUGCAAGCCGAGCGGUAGGUUUCCUUCGGGAGACUGAGAGCGGCGCACGGGUGCGGAACACGUGUGCAACCUGCCUUUAUCAGGGGGAUAGCCUUUCGAAAGGAAGAUUAAUACCCCAUAACAUUUUGAAUGGCAUCAUUUAAAAUUGAAAACUCCGGUGGAUAAAGAUGGGCACGCGCAGGAUUAGAUAGUUGGUAGGGUAACGGCCUACCAAGUCAACGAUCCUUAGGGGGCCUGAGAGGGUGAUCCCCCACACUGGUACUGAGACACGGACCAGACUCCUACGGGAGGCAGCAGUGAGGAAUAUUGGACAAUGGGUGAGAGCCUGAUCCAGCCAUCCCGCGUGAAGGACGACGGCCCUAUGGGUUGUAAACUUCUUUUGUAUAGGGAUAAACCUACUCUCGUGAGAGUAGCUGAAGGUACUAUACGAAUAAGCACCGGCUAACUCCGUGCCAGCAGCCGCGGUAAUACGGAGGGUGCAAGCGUUAUCCGGAUUUAUUGGGUUUAAAGGGUCCGUAGGCUGAUUUGUAAGUCAGUGGUGAAAUCUCACAGCUCAACUGUGAAACUGCCAUUGAUACUGCAAGUCUUGAGUGUUGUUGAAGUAGCUGGAAUAAGUAGUGUAGCGGUGAAAUGCAUAGAUAUUACUUAGAACACCAAUUGCGAAGGCAGGUUACUAAGCAACAACUGACGCUGAUGGACGAAAGCGUGGGGAGCGAACAGGAUUAGAUACCCUAGUAGUCC
RNAcentral lists this ribosomal RNA (788 nucleotides) under uncultured bacterium. Its description in RNAcentral is "bacterial SSU rRNA". It matches the Rfam family "Bacterial small subunit ribosomal RNA", at positions 8 to 796 of the family's 1533-position model. The record is from RNAcentral.